RNAcentral lists this unclassified non-coding RNA (167 nucleotides) under soil metagenome. Its description in RNAcentral is "partial internal transcribed spacer 1". The record is from RNAcentral.
UAAUAAGUGUUUUUAUGGCACUUUUUAAAUCCAUAUCCACCUUGUGUGCAAUGUCAGUCGGUUUUUUCUUUUUUCGUCAAAAGGAAAAAAAGGAUCGACCAAACAUCAACUUAUUCUAAUUGAACUUUUUGUCUGAAAACUAUUAUGAAUAAAACUAAUUCAAAAUA